Molecule: transfer RNA, 73 nt
Filed under: Malacoplasma penetrans HF-2
Lineage: Bacteria; Bacillati; Mycoplasmatota; Mycoplasmoidales; Mycoplasmoidaceae
Description: Mycoplasma penetrans HF-2 tRNA
Rfam family: tRNA
About the family: Transfer RNA (tRNA) molecules are approximately 80 nucleotides in length. Their secondary structure includes four short double-helical elements and three loops (D, anti-codon, and T loops).
Source: Rfam by way of RNAcentral
GCGGUUAUGGUGAAGCGGCUAACACAUCUGACUGUGACUCAGACACACGCGGGUUCAAUUCCCGUUAACCGCC